UCAACGCAUUCCGUACUUUCAUAAAUCUCUUCUCGGAUAUCUCUACGAUUACAGCCGUAUCCUAUUAUUCCAACUGUAGCAUAAAAUAAAAUAGACGAGACAAGCGUUCUCAGUCGGCAGAUCACAAUACCCAAAGUCGGAAAUAAAAAGGUAAAACAAAGAGGUGGAAAAGUGAAGACAAGAGGACAAACAAAGAUUAGUUUCCCUAAUAAGUCUGAAGAGAUCAGACAAUAUGCUCUUAACACAAACCAUACCACGCUCCAUGGGACAUGUAAUUUCUUUAGGAUUAUUUUUAUAAGAUUCC
This is a long non-coding RNA of Teleopsis dalmanni, 304 nucleotides long. RefSeq lists it as uncharacterized. Lineage: Eukaryota; Metazoa; Arthropoda; Insecta; Diptera; Diopsidae. The transcript has 3 exons. The record is from RefSeq and is a predicted model, not a curated record.